CAGUCGCCGCGGUAAAACGUAGGUGGCGAGCGUUGUCCGGAAUUAUUGGGCGUAAAGGGCUCGCAGGCGGUUUCUUAAGUCUGAUGUGAAAGCCCCCGGCUCAACCGGGGAGGGUCAUUGGAAACUUGGAAACUUGAGUGCAGAAGAGGAGAGUGGAAUUCCACGUGUAGCGGUGAAAUGCGUAGAGAUGUGGAGGAACACCAGUGGCGAAGGCGACUCUCUGGUCUGUAACUGACGCUGAGGAGCGAAAGCGUGGGGAGCGAACAGGAUUAGAUACCCCUGUAGUCCCUGUCUCUUAUAC
Molecule: ribosomal RNA, 301 nt
Filed under: uncultured bacterium
Lineage: Bacteria
Description: partial 16S ribosomal RNA
Rfam family: Bacterial small subunit ribosomal RNA
Source: RNAcentral